Molecule: ribosomal RNA, 253 nt
Filed under: uncultured bacterium
Lineage: Bacteria
Description: partial 16S ribosomal RNA
Rfam family: Bacterial small subunit ribosomal RNA
Source: RNAcentral
UACGUAGGGACCAAGCGUUGUUCGGAUUUACUGGGCGUAAAGGGCGCGUAGGCGGCGCGGUAAGUCACUUGUGAAAUCUCUGAGCUUAACUCAGAACGGCCAAGUGAUACUGCAGUGCUAGAGUGUGGAAGGGGCAAUCGGAAUUCUUGGUGUAGCGGUGAAAUGCGUAGAUAUCGAGAGGAACACCUGCGGCGAAGGCGGGUUGCUGGGCUGACACUGACGCUGAUGCGCGAAAGCCAGGGGAGCGAACGGG